Molecule: long non-coding RNA, 180 nt
Organism: Glycine soja
Lineage: Eukaryota; Viridiplantae; Streptophyta; Magnoliopsida; Fabales; Fabaceae
Exons: 3
Source: RefSeq, a predicted model, not a curated record
UAGGGGGAUCUGUUUUUGCCGCAUCUGGUGAUUCUUGUGCAUAUUGUUGGGAUGUGGAAACUGGUAAAGUGAAAAUGGUAUUCAAGGGGCACAUGGACUAUUUGUAUUGUAUAGUUGCUCGCAACUCAUCAAAUCAGAUCAUAACAGGUUCGGAGGAUGGGACAACACUAAUUUGGGUAU